AUUUUGAAAACUGAAUUAUCUCACGUUUAAUUUUUUUUUAAACAGAUUUUCUUUUCUGUCUUCUUUCAAGAGUCGAUGGCUUCCUCUUUUCCACCAUGUGAGCCUCUUUCCUUCGUGGCCUCCUCUCUUCCCCCAGAAGUGUUGAGGAGAAAGCAUUUGCUGCUGUAUGUCACAGGGCUAGACAUCACCACGAAGACAUUUUGGUUCUUAAACCUGUUUAUGAAGCUACCAGGAAGGACGAUAAGUACAAGAUUGUAUGGAUUCCCAUUGUGGAGCAAUGGACUGAAGAGCUGAAGAAAAAGUUUGAAAGCCUUAGAGUCAAGAUGCCAUGGUAUGUCGUCCAGUACUUGUCACCCAUUGCAGGUUUGAAGUUCAUCAAGCAGGAGUGGAACUAUAAGGGCAAGCCUACCCUAGUUGUGAUGAGCCCUCAAGGGAAAAUUGAAAACUUCAAUGCCCUUCACCUCAUUCGUGUCUGGGAAUUAGGACCUCCCCUUUCAAAAAAGCUGUCGAAGAAGACUUAUCCAAGGAGCUCACCUGGAUUGGUCCUGUGGUGACUAACAUUCACCCCAGUAUACCAACUUGGAUCAAAGAGGAGAAGUAUAUCUUCUACGGAGGGAAGGACAACGAUUGGAUCUAACAGUUCACAAAGAGAGCCACUCUGCUUGUAAAUGAUCCCUUCAUCAAGGACACCUUAAAGAUCCACAUUGAUUGUUCUGCGUUGGAAAGACAGCCAAAGGAGGAGAGGACCACGACAUCUUGGGCAAGUUCUGGAGCGGAAUAGAGAGCUUGUUCUUCAACAAGGCUCACAAGCAAGCUAUGGACCCUGUGACUCAAGGGGUCCAGAAGCUGCUCUCCUACAAGAACGAGUGGCUGGGCUGUUUUAGGUAUUUGAAUUGCUGUAUGGACUAAUGUGAUUUGAUGCCUAAAAUGUCUUUUCACUUCUGUCUCCUUUAAAUGGUUUUUUUAUUAACAUGUUGAUUAUGUGAAGCUAUUUGCUGCAUGAUAUCAUGGUAUGGGUGGUAAUUUGUGAAAGUAGUCUUACGUGAGCCUAUGUGUGUGAUGAUGAUGAUAGAGAUCAAUCAUCAAUGCCUGAUGCAAAAUUUAGAUGAUAAUAAUCUGAUGAAUCUUAUGAUUAACAUUGCGUGUGGACUUAGUGUUCUACUGUUAUUAAUAGAUUGAUAAUAAGAUUGUUUUAUAAUGCUUAAUUUUGGGUUAUAAUUUAUCUUUGCAUUCUUUUUAUCAGCUUAGUUGGUGUAGUUAAUAUAUCUCAUGUUCGUUGGUUAAUGUGUCAUUGUUAUCAUCACCAGUGAUUUAUAACAGUAGAUAGUGCAUCCUAUAAUUUAUCCUUAGUUUUUGGGUUUCAUGUUAGAUAACAAGGAUCCAUUGUAUUAAUAUAUAUAUAUAUAUAUAUAUAUAACAUGAAAUGAAAAUAAUUAAUAGAGGCCUAGACAUAAACAACAUUACAAAAAAAAAAGCUAUGCUGAGAACACUAUACCGAAAAGGUAUAUACAUUUUCAGAUGCGCGGGACCUUUUCGCAGUUUCUCGGUAUAGGUUCAAUAAAUAUCCCCAGCACGCGACCCCCGCUUCUUCUUCCUCUCUUUCCCUCAGUUUUUACAGACUGAAAGCCUCCCAUUUCUUCUUCGCCUCUCCCCACCGAAUUUGUUAUGCCCCGACUACCUGCAAGAGAGUUAGCAAACCAAUAGAACAGUACAAAGAGACAGCAGAGAGAAAUUGUGGCUAAAACCUGUAGAAAUUGUAUCUCAAUUCAGCAACCAAACAGUACAACUUUCCACAGGUAUUCGAGGGCCUGGGACCCUCCUAUGCAGUAAGCAGAUUCUAGCUCAAGCAUACCCCACUCACUGACCUCCCCACUACCUAUAUUGGCUCACUCUCUUUCUGUUACAGCAAUGACCAAAAAGCCCCUGACCCAACCGAAAGACUACCUUACCCCUUAUGUGUUGACCUGGCUCUCCUAGCAUAAGUGAACCGUAUGUCAGUCCUAACAUUACCCCCCCUAUAUCUCGAACCUUGUCCUCAAGGUUAAAUGCUGGAAACUGGUGUCGAAUGGAGUCAAACUUCUCCCAUGUGGCUUCGAACAUGGGUAGAUCCUUCCAUUUAAUCAACACUUCGAGCUGUCUUCUUGCGCCGUCUGUGGUGUAGCGUACGUUGAGUAAGUCCUCCGGUUCCACAAUCAAUUCCAAGUCAGCAGUGAUGGUGGGAGGCAAGGUGGGAGAUGAAUGCGCUGUGCCAACAAUCGCUCUGAGCUGGGAUACAUGGAAAACGGGGUGGAUGGCAGAAGAUGCUGGCAAAUCAAGGCGAUAGGCAACGGGGCCGAUCCUAGACAACACCUUAAAUGGCCCAUAAAAGCGUGUUGCCAGUUUUUCGCUCUACCGAAUCGCUAAGGAUUUCUGUCUGUAUGGGCGCAGCUUGACGAACACCGAGUUCCCCUCCUGAAACUCCACUGGUCGCCGAGAUAAAUCAGCCGCUGCCUUCAUCCGCUGCUGUGCCCUCAACAAAUGCAUCUUCAAAUCAUCUAAAAAAGCGUCUGUCUUCCAGCAACUGUUCGACUGCCGCAGCGGUAGUGGUGCCAUUCUCAUAGCGAAGCAAAGAAGGUGGAUCACGACCAUACGAAACCUUGAACGGGGUGCACCCCAAGGCUGAAUGGAAUGUAGUAUUGUACCAAUAUUCAGCCCAAGACAGCCAUUUCGCCCAUACGCGAGGCUUCUCCGAAGCGAAACAACGUAGAUAAGUUUCAAGGCACCUGUUUGUAACGUCCUGCAUUUUCGGGUACCUUUAAACGACUCGGGUCGGGAUUUUUCCCCCGGGUUAAGAAUAUUAUUUUAAAUAAUAUUAUAUUUUGUUUGUAAGUAUUCCAUGAGUUAUUGCUAGCCAAAAUAUGAAUUUUGUGAUUUUAAAAGUCAAGAUAAGACUUUCGGUCCUGGACCGACACAAAAACCCUGAUCGGGUAAAAAUCUCGGAAAAUAAAACGAAAAAUCAUGACAAUUAUAUUUUGGGCAUAAAAUACAUUCAUAAAAGUUAAAGUUUGGUCAAAAAUAAUAAACCUAAAAGAAAAUGGAAAUUUUAGGGCAUUUUGUGUUAAAUGCCUAAUUCUACCGAAAUGGGGAAUUUUAUUCCAUGAAUGGACCUUAGGUUAAAUUUUAUUAUGUGAUUAAUUAAAUUAAAUGUGAGAGACAUUUAAUUUAAUUAAUUAAUGUUAAGUUUGGUGAUUAAAACUUAAUAAGAGUGAAAAAGGUGUCAAAAGUCAAUUUGGACUUUUAUUCUUAUGAAACCUUUUUUAACCUUUAUUAAAAAAAAAUAAAAAAUGAAAUGAUUAUAUAUAGCAAGGGUUGGCCGGCCAUGUGGUGUUUUAGGUGGUGUGAACCCAACUUAAUAAAGAUAAAUCUCAUUUUAACUAAGUCAAGUCAAGUGGGCAAGUGGGCAAGUGGGAGGAAAACACUUGAGUGUUUUUGAGAUAAAUUAGAUACCAUAAACUCUUCUAACCCCCCUAAGAAACCGACCACUCUCCCUCUCUCAUUCACUAUCAUCUUUUUUGAAGACCUCUCAAAGUGUUCUCUCAAUAUUCAACCUCAAGAACACCAAGGAAAACUUGGAGGCUAAGUCUUGGUCUAGGAAGUAUUUUCCCUAAGGUAAAGCUUCACUAAUCUAGGCUUUUGUAAAGUUUUAAGCUUAGAGUUUCAAAUAGCUAAUUAACUAUGUUGUUGGGGGAAGUUGGUUAGGGUUUUUGAAAGGUUUUGGAGGAGCCAAAGCUAAUAGGAAGGCCCAAACCUUAAGCAAGAACACCAAAGAGGUAAGAACAAGGGCAAGGCAGAGCAGUGAGCGCUGGAGUCUUCCUUGCAAAUGUACAUGUGGACCGACCUUUUGGGAAGCCUUUUUAUUUUUGGAAAUGUUGUGUAAUUUUCCUAAACUAGGCUCACUCUAAUCUUUAUAAAACAUGUUUGUAAUUAAAUGUUAAGUAUGGCCAUACGACUUUUUAAAAAGUUUUUUUUUCUA
Humulus lupulus (European hop) is the source of this 4012-nucleotide long non-coding RNA. RefSeq lists it as uncharacterized. NCBI's taxonomy places the organism in Eukaryota, Viridiplantae, Streptophyta, Magnoliopsida, Rosales, Cannabaceae. The transcript has 4 exons. The record is from RefSeq and is a predicted model, not a curated record.